This 2276-nucleotide ribosomal RNA is filed under the name human oral metagenome. Its description in RNAcentral is "bacterial LSU rRNA". It matches the Rfam family "Bacterial large subunit ribosomal RNA", at positions 462 to 2653 of the family's 2925-position model. The record is from RNAcentral.
AAGGCUAAAUAUAAUAUACGAUCGAUAGUGAACUAGUACAGCGAUGGAAAGGUGAAAAGAACCCCGGGAGGGGAGUGAAAUAGAUCCUGAAAUUUAGUGCCUACAAGGAGUCGGAGCCGGCUUGUCCGGUGACGGCGUGCUUUUUGUAGAACGAUCCAGCGAGUUAAUUUCGUGCGCAAGGUUAAGUUAGUUAACGGAGCCACAGUGAAAGCGAGCCUGAAUAGGGCGUUUAGUGUACGGAAUUAGACCCGAAACCGGGUGACCUAACCAUGAGCAGGUUGAAGCUACUGUAACAGGUAGUGAAGGACCGAACCAGGAUACGCAGCAAAGUGUUUGGAUGACUUGUGGUUAGCGGUGAAAUGCCAAUCGAACUCGGAGAUAGCUGGUUCUCCUCGAAAUAGCUUUAGGGCUAGCGUCAUGUUAGUAAUGUAUGGGGGUAGAGCUCUGUAAAGGAUUGGGGCGGGCAACUGUACCCACCCUUAACAAACUACGAAUACCAUAUAUGUAAUCAUGGCAGUUAGAACAUCGGUGCUAAGAUCGGUGCUCAAAAGGGAAACAGCCCAGACCAUCAUCUAAGGUCCCUAAAUAUACAUUAAGUGGGAAACAAGGUGAAAUUUCUUAAACAGCGAGGAUGUUGGCUUAGAAGCAGCCAUUCAUUUAAAGAGUGCGUAACAGCUCACUCGUCAAGAGAUUUUGCGUGGAAAAUGUAACGGGGCUAAAUGUAUUACCGAAGAUAUGGAUUAUUACAUUAGUAAUAGUGGUAGAGGAGCGUUCCUAUCAGCAGUGAAGCAGUAUUGAAAAGUAUUGUGGAGCGGUAGGAAGUGAGAAUGCUGGAAUGAGUAACCAUAAGAUAGGUGAGAAUCCUGUCGGCCGUAAGAGCAAGGUUUCCUGAGCUAUGGUAAUCAUCUCAGGGUUAGUCGGGCCUAAGCCGAGGCGCAGAGCGUAGGCGAUGGACAUCAGGUUAAUAUUCCUGAACCGGUUAAGUUUUGUACACUGUUCACGGGGAAGUAAUCGAAGCGGAUUCAUGGUUUAUCCGUCCAACCGAGCGGGAACGCAAAGGGAGUGAAAGUGAUUCUUCGGAGUCGCGAUUUUGGUGAAAGCCCUGGCUAGAAAAGCAGGUGUACGCGUGGACUUAGCCGCCCGUACCGCAAACCAACACAGGUGCUCGAGUCGAGUAGACUCAGGCUUACGAGCGAACCUUCGCUAAGGAACUCGGCAAUACAGCGACCGUAACUUCGGGAUAAGGUCUGCCCCCACUUCGGUGGAUAUCAGCCGCGUUCACUCAGUGAAUAAUAGGUUAAAGAGUACAUUUUUAAUCACAAAACGAAUUUUCUGAGACACGAGCAAACAAAUUGCUCUUUGAACGCGAACCUCUUGUAUCUAAUGAUGUGGGGGCCGCAGCAAAAGAGCCCACGGAACUGUUUAUCAAAAACACAGGUCUCUGCUAACACGAAAGUGGAUGUAUAGGGGCUGACUCCUGCCCGGUGCCGGAAGGUUAAGGGGAGUGCUUCACGGUGCAAACUGAAGCCCCGGUGAACGGCGGCGGUAACUAUAACCGUCCUAAGGUAGCGAAAUUCCUUGUCAGGUAAGUUCUGACCCGCACGAAUGGAGUAAUCAUGUGGGCACUGUCUCAGCGAAGGACUCGGUGAAAGUGCAUUGGCGGUAAAGAUGCCGUCUGUCCGUACCAGGACGAAAAGACCCCAUGGAGCUUUACUACAGCUUUACAUUGAAUACGGUUUCAACAUGUGUAGCAUAGGUGGGAGAUAUUGAAGCAGAUACGCCAGUAUUUGUGGAGUCACCAAGUGAAAUACCACCCUUGUUGUGAUUGUGUUCUCACGCUGACCGUUAUCCGGUUAGCGGACCGUGUAUGGUGGGUAGUUUAACUGGGGCGGUUGCCUCCUAAAGAGUAGCGGAGGCGUUCAAAGGUUGGCUAACUUCGGAUGGAAAUCGAAGUGAUAGUGUAUGCGCACAAGCCAGCUUGACUGUGAGGAGUACAUUCCAAUCAGAGACGAAAGUCGGAGCAAGUGAUCCGCUGUACGUACAUUUGUACAUGAAUGUGGGAUCGACAGCGCAAACGGAUAAAAGUUACCCUGGGGAUAACAGGCUUAUAGCGCCCAAUAGUUCACAUAGACGGCGCUGUUUGGCACCUCGAUGUCGGCUCAUCACAUCCUGGAGGGGGAGCACCUUCCAAGGGUUCGGCUGUUCGCCGAUUAAAGUGGUACGCGAGCUGGGUUCAGAACGUCGUGAGACAGUUCGGUUUAUAUCCGGUAUGGACG